GCAAGUCGAACGAACCCUUCGGGGUUAGUGGCGCACGGGUGCGUAACGCGUGGGAACCUGCCUUUAGGUUCGGAAUAACUCAGAGAAAUUUGAGCUAAUACCGGAUGAUGUUUUCGGACCAAAGAUUUAUCGCCUUUAGAUGGGCCCGCGUUAGAUUAGAUAGUUGGUGGGGUAAUGGCCUACCAAGUCGACGAUCUAUAGCUGGUCUGAGAGGAUGAUCAGCCACACUGGGACUGAGACACGGCCCAGACUCCUACGGGAGGCAGCAGUGGGGAAUAUUGGACAAUGGGCGAAAGCCUGAUCCAGCAAUGCCGCGUGAGUGAUGAAGGCCUUAGGGUUGUAAAGCUCUUUUACC
This 355-nucleotide ribosomal RNA is filed under the name Erythrobacter longus. Its description in RNAcentral is "bacterial SSU rRNA". It matches the Rfam family "Bacterial small subunit ribosomal RNA", at positions 57 to 440 of the family's 1533-position model. The record is from RNAcentral. Lineage: Bacteria; Pseudomonadati; Pseudomonadota; Alphaproteobacteria; Sphingomonadales; Erythrobacteraceae.